This 691-nucleotide ribosomal RNA is filed under the name uncultured Alphaproteobacteria bacterium. RNAcentral's name for it is "bacterial SSU rRNA". It matches the Rfam family "Bacterial small subunit ribosomal RNA", at positions 33 to 769 of the family's 1533-position model. The record is from RNAcentral. Lineage: Bacteria; Pseudomonadati; Pseudomonadota; Alphaproteobacteria.
ACGCUGGCGGCACACCUAACACAUGCAAGUCGAACGAAGUAGCAAUACUUAGUGGCAGACGGGUGAGUAACAUGUAGGUAUCUGCCCUUUGGCCUGGAAUAACACGAGGAAACUUGUGCUAAUACCGGAUAAGUCUUCACGGAGAAAGCUUUAUGCACCAUUGGAUGAGCCUGCACUUGAUUAGUUUGUUGGUAGGGUAAUGGCCUACCAAGACUGUGAUCAAUAGCUGAUUUGAGAGGAUGAUCAGCCACAUUGGGACUGAGACACGGCCCAAACUCCUACGGGAGGCAGCAGUGGGGAAUCUUGCACAAUGGAGGAAACUCUGAUGCAGCGAUGCCGCGUGAGUGAAGAAGGCCCUUGGGUUGUAAAGCUCUUUCGUCGGGGAAGAAAAUGACUGUACCCGAAUAAGGAGGUCCGGCUAACUUCGUGCCAGCAGCCGCGGUAAUACGAAGGGACCUAGCGUAGUUCGGAAUUACUGGGCUUAAAGAGUUCGUAGGUGGUUGAAAAAGUUGGUGGUGAAAUCCCAGAGCUUAACUCUGGAACUGCCAUCAAAACUUUUCAGCUAGAGUUUGAUAGAGGAAAGCAGAAUUUCUAGUGUAGAGGUGAAAUUCGUAGAUAUUAGAAAGAAUACCAAUUGCGAAGGCAGCUUUCUGGAUCAUUACUGACACUGAGGAACGAAAGCAUGGGUAGC